This 497-nucleotide ribosomal RNA is filed under the name uncultured bacterium. RNAcentral's name for it is "partial 16S ribosomal RNA". It matches the Rfam family "Bacterial small subunit ribosomal RNA", at positions 28 to 507 of the family's 1533-position model. The record is from RNAcentral.
GAUGAACGCUGGCGGCGUGCCUAAUACAUGCAAGUCGAGCGAACAGAUAAGGAGCUUGCUCCUUUGACGUUAGCGGCGGACGGGUGAGUAACACGUGGGUAACCUACCUAUAAGACUGGGAUAACUUCGGGAAACCGGAGCUAAUACCGGAUAAUAUUUCGAACCGCAUGGUUCGAUAGUGAAAGAUGGUUUUGCUAUCACUUAUAGAUGGACCCGCGCCGUAUUAGCUAGUUGGUAAGGUAACGGCUUACCAAGGCGACGAUACGUAGCCGACCUGAGAGGGUGAUCGGCCACACUGGAACUGAGACACGGUCCAGACUCCUACGGGAGGCAGCCGUAGGGAAUCUUCCGCAAUGGGCGAAAGCCUGACGGAGCAACGCCGCGUGAGUGAUGAAGGUCUUCGGAUCGUAAAACUCUGUUAUUAGGGAAGAACAUACGUGUAAGUAACUGUGCACGUCUUGACGGUACCUAAUCAGAAAGCCACGGCUAACUACGUG